Molecule: ribosomal RNA, 462 nt
Filed under: uncultured bacterium
Lineage: Bacteria
Description: partial 16S ribosomal RNA
Rfam family: Bacterial small subunit ribosomal RNA
Source: RNAcentral
GACGAACGCUGGCGGCGUGCUUAACACAUGCAAGUCGAGCGGUAAGGCCUUUCGGGGUACACGAGCGGCGAACGGGUGAGUAACACGUGGGUGAUCUGCCCUGCACUUCGGGAUAAGCCUGGGAAACUGGGUCUAAUACCGGAUAUGACCUCCUAUCGCAUGGUGGGUGGUGGGAAGAUUUAUCGGUGCAGGAUGGGCCCGCGGCCUAUCAGCUUGUUGGUGGGGUAAUGGCGUACCAAGGCGACGACGGGUAGCCGACCUGAGAGGGUGACCGGCCACACUGGGACUGAGAAACGGCCAAGACUCCUACGGGAGGCAGCAUGGGGGAAUAUUGCAAAAUGGGCGAAAGCCUGAUGCAGCGACGCCGCGUGAGGGAUGACGGCCUUCGGGUUGUAAACCUCUUUCAGCAGGGACGAAGCGCAAGUGACGGUACCUGGAGAAGAAGCACCGGCUAACUACGUG